Molecule: ribosomal RNA, 677 nt
Filed under: uncultured Bacteroidota bacterium
Lineage: Bacteria; Pseudomonadati; Bacteroidota
Description: bacterial SSU rRNA
Rfam family: Bacterial small subunit ribosomal RNA
Source: RNAcentral
AGGCUUAACACAUGCAAGUCGAGGGGUUUCGAAGGAGCUUGCUCUAGAGAGACGACCGGCGCACGGGUGAGUAACGCGUAUCCAACCUGCCCUUCAUAUUGGGAUAGCCUUCCGAAAGGGAGAUUAAUACCGAAUAACAUAGUAUAGUUGCCUGACCUUACUAUGAAAGCUCCGGCGAUGAAGGAUGGGGAUGCGUUCCAUUAGGUAGUAGGCGGGGUAACGGCCCACCUAGCCGACGAUGGAUAGGGGUUCUGAGAGGAAGGUCCCCCACACUGGAACUGAGACACGGUCCAGACUCCUACGGGAGGCAGCAGUGAGGAAUAUUGGUCAAUGGGCGCAAGCCUGAACCAGCCAAGUAGCGUGAAGGAUGACUGCCCUAUGGGUUGUAAACUUCUUUUAUACGGGAACAAACCUUGGUACGCGUACCAAAUUGCGUGUACCGUAUGAAUAAGCAUCGGCUAACUCCGUGCCAGCAGCCGCGGUAAUACGGAGGAUGCGAGCGUUAUCCGGAUUUAUUGGGUUUAAAGGGAGCGUAGACGGGAUGUUAAGUCAGUUGUGAAAGGCUGCGGCUCAACCGCAGCACUGCAGUUGAUACUGGCGUCCUUGAGUGCGGUUGAGGUAUGUGGAAUUCGUGGUGUAGCGGUGAAAUGCUUAGAUAUCACGAAGAACUCCGAUUG